This 1347-nucleotide long non-coding RNA is filed under the name Nicotiana benthamiana. Its description in RNAcentral is "long non-coding RNA (NBEN_LNC004560)". Lineage: Eukaryota; Viridiplantae; Streptophyta; Magnoliopsida; Solanales; Solanaceae. The record is from RNAcentral.
AUGUUUUCAAAGAGUUCGAACUUCUUUGGUUCUGAGCCGAGAUUAGUCUCAAUGACGCGUUUUUGCCAAGAACGGACGAACAAGGCUAGUCUCGACUCAAAACUUCUUGGCAAAAUUGGGCAGAUCGUCUCCUAUUUUUCCCUUUUCAAAUUCGGACCAAUCUCUGUUUGGUGACGGUUUGGAGGAAUAUGGUGAGAGACUGAAGGUCAUGGGUGAAGAAAGGUAGGAGAACUGAAAUUUGGGGAGAGGAAUAGAGUUAUGGUUGAGAGAGGUGGAAGAGACGAGGAAGGUGAGAGAUACAGAACUAAACAGUCUUGGUCUCUAAAGAAAAUUCGGACAUAUUAAUGGAAAUAAAGUCCCUAGUUCCUGGUCGUUGGAUAGAUGGAGAUGGACAGCCAGGAUUAAACAACGUCCAAACGGUGUCGUUUCGGAUGAAGGGGCUCUGGGCCGGGUCAAUGAAAUGGGGCAGACGGGUAUUUGAGACAAGGGAGAUGUUCUGGGCCUGAAUAAUGCAAACUAAAUUGGCCCAAUAUCUUCUCUUCAAUUCAUUUCAAUUCUUUCUCUCUUUUUUUCAAAUUAAAUAAAAAUUAACAAUAGUUCCUAGAACUUAUUACCCUAAAAAACUGAUUAAACCUACAAUGAUAAUUAAAAGGAUUAAUUAACAAAUAAAUUAACGGGAAAACUACUCAAAGUCAAAGCUAAAAUAAAAAUGCAAAAUUGAACUAUUUUUUGGGAUUUUUCGUAUUUUGUUCUAAAAUAGAUUAACCUCUAAUUAACACUAAAAUAUAAAAUUAAAUCCUAAAUGCAAAAAUAUUUUUUGUAUUUUUUAUAUGAAUUAGCAUGCACAAAUAAGAUGCAAACAACUAACACAAAAUUCACAAAAAUUUUAAAAAUAAGAAAAACAUCUUUUUGUUUGAGUUUUAUGGGAAUAAUUCAUAUAGAGGACAAAAAUCACAUGCUCACAACCGCUUCCUCCUCUUUGUUCCCAAUUUCUCUUGUAGGUUGCAGAUUCCCUGUUGCUGAGAAAUUCAGUCUGCGACGAACUAGUUCAGUGCUUUCCUUCGUAGCAGGUUUCAUUGCAGAUUCCCCCUUUCAUUUUAACUUUCCUCCACGAUUGGUUGAAUUUUUUGUGGUAGGAAGCUUCCAAACAUCAUAGGCCUCAUUUUCUGUUGAAUCCCAGUAUCUGGUGUUACUAUCUUGUCACCUUGAGAUGGUUUUUGAAACACUAUGGGGGCACUGCUCAUACCAGUUAACCACCGUCAUGUUUGUACUUGAGUUGGUGUUACUGAACUUGCAUCAUUAUCCUUCUCUCCCAAUGGCGAUGGGAGCUUCUUCCGUUGUCUAGCC